Molecule: non-coding RNA, 148 nt
Filed under: Chlorocebus sabaeus (green monkey)
Lineage: Eukaryota; Metazoa; Chordata; Mammalia; Primates; Cercopithecidae
Source: Rfam by way of RNAcentral
GCCAGGCGUGGGGGUGCGUGCCUGUGUUCCCAACUACUCAGGAGGGUGAGGCGGGAGGAUUGCUUGAGCCCAGGAGUUCGAGACUGCAGUGAACUGUGACUCCACCACUGCACUCCAGCCUGGGCAACAGAGCAAGACUCUGUCUCAU